This 128-nucleotide small RNA is filed under the name Marmota monax (woodchuck). The record is from RNAcentral. Lineage: Eukaryota; Metazoa; Chordata; Mammalia; Rodentia; Sciuridae.
GCCGGGAGUGGUGGUACAUGCCUGUAAUCCCAGUGGCUUGGGAGGCAGAGGCAGGAGGAUUGUGAGUUCAAAGCUAGACUCAGCAACUUAGCAAGGCCCCCAAGAAAAUCAGUGAGACCCUGUCUCUG